Long non-coding RNA from Drosophila pseudoobscura, 499 nucleotides. RefSeq lists it as uncharacterized. The transcript has 2 exons. Lineage: Eukaryota; Metazoa; Arthropoda; Insecta; Diptera; Drosophilidae. The record is from RefSeq and is a predicted model, not a curated record.
ACUAUCGCAUGCAUUUUGGCGAGUGUGUGCCUAUCAAAUGCGUUACCACUAAGCAGUCUGUUGAUUCUUUUAGUUUAGUUUAGUUUUAUUUAGUUUAGGAACCACGGCUUGGAUGAUGUUGAGGGGAAAAGCGAGCAGUAACCUCGGUGCUUGACGCUAAAAGUCUGUAAGGUUCCAUUUAACCACUGUGUAUUUCCCUAGUCUGUGGGCUUCUUUGGCUGCUGCGUCAACUGAAGUGUUCUGAUGGAUGUUAGCGUGUCCGGGAAUGCGAUAAAGGUUUCCUGAAUAUUCUUCGCCAGAAUGAGAGCCCCGUUUCUGCUGUCUUUUAGGAGCCCGAGACGAGGAAAAUUGUACGAAAUACCAUGGUCUAAUGCCUUCUCGAUAACAAGCAGCUCGGCGGACAAAGAGGAAAGGAUUUUGUGCGUGUAAUAAUUAUCAAAAAAACCUGUUCUAUGGUGCAGGAAAGCGGCGCUGGAAUGUCCUGCUGCGACUGACCCGU